AAUACUUAUUUUGAGAAUAAUAAAAAAUUGAUUUAUCUUUUGUAUGCAAGAAUUUCAAGUCAAUAGAAAAGAUGGUUUAUUUUUUUAA
Molecule: non-coding RNA, 88 nt
Filed under: Aristerostoma sp. ATCC 50986
Lineage: Eukaryota; Ciliophora; Colpodea; Cyrtolophosidida; Cyrtolophosididae
Source: RNAcentral